UACGGGGGGUGCAAGCGUUGUUCGGAAUUAUUGGGCGUAAAGCGCGUGUAGGCGGUUUGUUGAGUCUGUUGUGAAAGCCCUGGGCUCAACCCAGGAAGUGCACUGGAUACUGGCAGACUUGAAUACGGGAGAGGGUAGUGGAAUUCCUGGUGUAGGAGUGAAAUCCGUAGAUAUCAGGAGGAACACCGGUGGCGAAGGCGGCUACCUGGACCGAUAUUGACGCUGAGACGCGAAAGCGUGGGUAGCAAACAGG
This 253-nucleotide ribosomal RNA is filed under the name uncultured bacterium. RNAcentral describes it as "partial 16S ribosomal RNA". It matches the Rfam family "Bacterial small subunit ribosomal RNA", at positions 524 to 776 of the family's 1533-position model. The record is from RNAcentral.